Molecule: long non-coding RNA, 790 nt
Organism: Manacus vitellinus (golden-collared manakin)
Lineage: Eukaryota; Metazoa; Chordata; Aves; Passeriformes; Pipridae
Exons: 3
Source: RefSeq, a predicted model, not a curated record
CGGCUUUAAGGAAUUCAUCGGGGCUCUCCGCUGCCCGUGGAAAUGUCUGUGCGUCCUCCUCCUCCUCUUCCCAGCCCAGUGCCUCACCAGGACCCUGAACAUCAGCAUAGGAACAGGAGGUCCAAAUGCUGUUCCUAAUCAAAGGCAAGAUGCGGCUGCUUGCAAGCACGGGUAGUUACACGCUGCACAGGCGCUGUGCACGGCACUGCAUGCACGGUCCUUCCUCCACUUUCCCUGCAGUGGAAGUUCAGAGAUGUAGAAGAAGACUCAACAAGUGAUGGAGAAGUGUGUUCAGAGUCGUGGGGUUUUCACUUUAAAGACAGUACCGGUUUAGAGUUGUGUGACAAAUAAUAACAGUACAUAAAAACAAAAUAUUUGGCAACACUCCAUCUUGAAAGCUCGAUAGGGAAAAAAAAAAAGUAAACCAACACUGCUUCCGAGGAGUGUCCUAAUGAGUAUAGCAGGAACCAGUUACCCGUUUACACUUUAUGGAAAUGGUUAUUUACACUAUGUCUAAAGCUACUAAAGCUAGGCCUUUUAAAGCUGCUAUUGGUGAGAUGGAACCUAAAGUCUCUGGCUGUUUUUUUUAAAGAAAUCAAGUUAUGACCUCUGGGCAAAAGGCUUGUACCAGCUUAUAUGGUAUCCUAUCUCCUCAUUGAAAAGGGAUUCACAUGGAAAAGAAGGCUAAGUUCCAGGCACCUACAUAGCCCGGUUUUCAGACAUGUUGAGCACGUUCGUUGUGUCUAUGGCUGCUGAGCAACCCUGAAACUUAAGCAGGUGAGUAUGAAUU